GUAGAAGGUAAAGAAGGGUCAGCAACAAUUUGUGAGGGUAAUAAGGGAAUUGUGGCUGAUUUUGACCCUGAGAUUGAGAAUGGUGGUGGUACUGAUGAGGGUAAUAGGGUUAAUAGGCAAAUGAGUGAAAGUUCUAUUUAUACUACUGAUCAUGAAGAGGAUGAUGAUGAAGCUAAUCACAAGAUUGAGUUAGGUCCUCAAUGUACACUCAAAGAAACAUUUGAAAAGGAUAAGGAUGAUGAGA
RNAcentral lists this unclassified non-coding RNA (244 nucleotides) under Hevea brasiliensis (rubber tree). The record is from RNAcentral. Lineage: Eukaryota; Viridiplantae; Streptophyta; Magnoliopsida; Malpighiales; Euphorbiaceae.